CUCCUGCCUCAGGUGCAGAAAUACAGCUAUUUCCAGUUCCAGCUGUUGAGCCAGUGCCAGCACCAGGGGCAGAGCCCCCUCCAGGACAGUGCUGGAGCUAGGGGAAUCUCCAGGGCCCUCCUGCCGCUGCCCUGGGACUGCCCAGGACAAACCCAGUGAGAAGCUGCCUGACUUCAUGGCACCUCCUGUAGAGCCACCGGCCUCAGCCCUGGAGCUGAAAGUGUGGCUGGAGCUAGAGGUGGCAGAGAGGGGGUGACCAGCACAGCUCCAGCCAGCAGCUCCCACACUGCUCCCAGUCCUGGGCACGGUGGAAGAUAUGGAGGCAGAGACCAGGGUGUGCAACCUGGGCUCCUCUGCCUCACUGGAGAGGAACUUCUCUCACUGAGCAGAGCAGCAGCCCUGCUGCUGAAGGGCCUGCUGCUACUGCUGCUGGGGGUGUUUGCCUGCCUGCAGGAGGUGCUGGAGAGCAAGAAAAGGAGCCUGUGAGCAGGUGUUCCAGCAGGUCCUCCUGCUCCCAGAGGCGACCUCCUCCUCCAGGCAUGGAGGUUUGCCCUCAGCUGGGCAUCUGGGCCAUUUGCCUCUAAUGUGCUGCCCAGGAUGGCCCCUUCUAGACAGGCAGACAGGGGUUGAGGGGGCCAGGGGGCAUCUCCAAAGGAAGCUUUUAAACUCAGCAGCUGCACCCUAGAAUCUCCAUGCCUGCACCUGCCCAAGGAUUUAUUCAUAGCUUAACUAAGAAUUUCAAAUUUCUACCAUAACACUGAAAUAAAGCUUGAUUUUUUGAAACUUC
RNAcentral lists this long non-coding RNA (787 nucleotides) under Pongo abelii (Sumatran orangutan). RNAcentral describes it as "lincRNA". Lineage: Eukaryota; Metazoa; Chordata; Mammalia; Primates; Hominidae. The record is from RNAcentral.